Molecule: non-coding RNA, 28 nt
Filed under: Cricetulus griseus (Chinese hamster)
Lineage: Eukaryota; Metazoa; Chordata; Mammalia; Rodentia; Cricetidae
Source: RNAcentral
AGAGGUGGGGGUGCAGUACCAGGAAAGG